This 138-nucleotide small nucleolar RNA is filed under the name Ornithorhynchus anatinus (platypus). Lineage: Eukaryota; Metazoa; Chordata; Mammalia; Monotremata; Ornithorhynchidae. The record is from RNAcentral.
UUCCUCUCGGGAUCGCACCUGGAGAGUUUCCAGUACUCUACCAGUUUCGGCUAAGGGAGGGAGAGUCAAGCAGAGGCAUACCCAUUCCAUUCCUGGUUUGGGCAGUGGCUAGAAAGUGGAAGGUGAUCUGCCUAAAGU